This 489-nucleotide ribosomal RNA is filed under the name uncultured bacterium. RNAcentral describes it as "partial 16S ribosomal RNA". It matches the Rfam family "Bacterial small subunit ribosomal RNA", at positions 28 to 507 of the family's 1533-position model. The record is from RNAcentral.
GAUGAACGCUAGCUACAGGCUUAACACAUGCCAGUCGAGGGGCAGCAUGAACUUAGCUUGCUAAGUUUGAUGGCGACCGGCGCACGGGUGAGUAACACGUAUCCAACCUGCCGAUGACUCGGGGAUAGCCUUUCGAAAGAAAGAUUAAUACCCGAUGGCAUAGUUCUUCCGCAUGGUAGAACUAUUAAAGAAUUUCGGUCAUCGAUGGGGAUGCGUUCCAUUAGGUUGUUGGCGGGGUAACGGCCCACCAAGCCUUCGAUGGAUAGGGGUUCUGAGAGGAAGGUCCCCCACAUUGGAACUGAGACACGGUCCAAACUCCUACGGGAGGCAGCAGUGAGGAAUAUUGGUCAAUGGACGAGAGUCUGAACCAGCCAAGUAGCGUGAAGGAUGACUGCCCUAUGGGUUGUAAACUUCUUUUAUACGGGAAUAAAGUGAGGCACGUGUGCCUUUUUGUAUGUACCGUAUGAAUAAGGAUCGGCUAACUCCGUG